Molecule: ribosomal RNA, 253 nt
Filed under: uncultured bacterium
Lineage: Bacteria
Description: partial 16S ribosomal RNA
Rfam family: Bacterial small subunit ribosomal RNA
Source: RNAcentral
UACGAGGGGGGCAAGCGUUGUUCGGAAUUAUUGGGCGUAAAGGGCGCGUAGGCGGUGCGGUAAGUCACCUGUGAAAACUCUGGGCUCAACUCAGAGCCUGCAGGCGAAACUGCCGUGCUUGAGUGUGGGAGAGGUGCGUGGAAUUCCCGGUGUAGCGGUGAAAUGCGUAGAUAUCUGGAGGAACACCGGUGGCGAAGGCGGCAUCCUGGACCAAUUCUGACGCUGAGGAGCGAAAGCCAGGGGAGCAAACGGG